GGCGCAGUAACACCCUCCCUCUCCCAUUAUGAGAGUGAGAAGGGGAGCGGACUUUUCAGGCGAGUCGAAGUACUCCCAAAAGUGCCAUUACGCCAUAAAAUAUAGUUCCUCUUUUAAAUCCGCUUAGAAAAGUGCUACAUUUUAAUUUUGUACCACCAAACUUGCUCGUAUAACUACUCGUCUUAAAUAGGAUGUGUCUUAAAAUGUGUUUGGUCACUUGUAACUUUAUCUCUAAAUGGUAGCAUUGAAUGAAUGGGGCUAAGCUAAAUGCUAUCGAAGCGUCGCAGCGCGCUCCAACGCUUACAUGCACGCACACAUGAAUUAAAAUUAAAAGAAUUAAAAUUAAAAAUUAAAAGCUCAUCAGGCACCAUAAAAAGACAAACAGACAACAGCAAAAGACCUUAAAAAAACAUUAAAGAGUAACUAAACCCUAAACCAACUUUUUUUAGUUAAUGAUCUGUAAGAAUGAUGCUUUAUUCGUGCUGUUCGUUAAUUUUUGGAAGUUUUUUGACAUUUGGAUAUGAAGUGUUUCAAUACUACAAUAUAUGGUGUAAAAACAAGGGAUGCACUGAUACCACUUUUUCCAUCUCCGCUGAAUUCUAAGUAUCGGCCAAUUCCGAUACCUGCCGAUCCGAUACUACUGUAUUUUUCUUGAGCAAUUUAAAUUACACACAGACACACACACAGACACACACACAGACACACACACACACACACAGACACACACACAGACACACACAUAAAUGUGUAUAGUGCUUUCUGCUAAAUCUAGCAUAAUAUAAUUAUAUUAUAUAUAAUUUUAAAUUUUAAAGUAAAAACCAAUAAUUUAAAAUGAUUUAUAAGUUACAAGAACAUUAGUAAUUAUUAACCAUGGCAGUGUUUAGGAGAAAAUAGAAUAGGCACGUUUGAUCAAAUAAGUAUGCUAAAUAUAUUUUCCUUAAUUGCAAAAAAGUCACAGUAAAAAAGCUUUGGUGCGCAGAUGGUUAUUUUGGGAAUUAUGUACUUAACCGGACCUUUUAUGCACAUUUCGGGUGCAGAAUUGAUGCGCUUAAAUCAUAUUGAGUGCGCAAUACUGUGCUUCCUGGGUGCAGCAUUGAUGCUCUAGAAGCAUCCUCACAUGGGAAUCCUCGCUCCGCAAUGGAAAGUUACGUUCAUAACUAUUGAAACACAAAGAGAUUAAAUGCAUCGUGUGCUCAGCACAUACUGAAUUGCAUCCACCCAACAGCUUACUGAGACUUUAUAAAAUCAGAUCUUUAAUAAACAUUACAGUUAUUGUGUGUGUGUUGAAUGACGCGCUUUCACUCGUCCGCUUCACCAGUGGAUUAACUCAGUUUGCAAGUAAUUACAGUGUUUCUGUGAACAUUAAUAUCUUUAAAUGUGCAUUUGUUCCUUCACAUGAAGCUAUUGAGUGUAAGAUGACUUUGAUUAUAGUGCAUAAAAACGUUUAUGGUGCUUUUAUAAUACUUUGUCGUUUUAAUUAGAGCCCGACCGAUAUGCAUUUUUUGGGGCCGAUGCCGAUACAGAUAUUAGAGAGUAAAAAAAGACCGAUAACGAUAUAUCGGCCGAUAUUCAUUAUGUGCAUAUUAUAGUACAGUACACAUAUACUACAGUAUAUUAUACUACUACAGUACUCUACAUAGAAUACACUAUAUACAUUAACAGAAUAUACUAUAUAUAAAUACUUUUUGCAAUGAUCACUCUAUGAUCACACCACAAAUGUGGUGAUCAAACACUUAAAAUGACGUGACAAAGAUAUGUAAUAUAGGCAGGUGUGUUUUACAAGUUAACAAUAAACUUUAUUAUCCAAAAUGAUUCUGAUAUAAGUGCACAAAACAGUAAAUUUGACUUAUUAUAAAUAACUUUAAAACACAAACAAAACAAAAUACAUAUAACUUAAACCAUUGUCAGUUUUAACGAGAAUAAUGUUAUAUUGGGCUUAUUUUAAAAAAUGGAAACUUAUAAAGUCAUUGUUAUAUUGGGCUUAGCUUUAGAGUAAGUUAUAGACUUCACAAAUUAAUUAAAAACUUACCGUUAAGACGACAAUGCUUGAAUUACUGACAACAUACUGAUGUAGGCUACACUGUAACAAAUUUCUGUAAUUUCUACAGCAAAAUUUUACAGUUACUUCUUGUUCUGUCAUUUUACAAAGUUUAGCUGUACAUUGCAAUGCAUUGUGGGUCAAAAAACGAUUACAGAAGUUGACAGCUUUUCCCCCACAAUAAAUUACAGGUAUAUUUGCGCUUGCUUGUAAAUGAUGCAGUAUUACAGUUAUUCACUGUUGAAUGAGUUGCACGAGGCAGCUUGACGCCAUUUUAUGUCGGAUUGCAGAGGAGCAGGGACAUUGCCACGCCACUCAUGCACAAAAUGUGUUGGCAACAGCAACAGACGUUGAAAAAACACUACAGUUUCCUGACUCUAAUUGUCUUAGGUGAAUCAGCGUUUGGAUGCUGAGCAUCGGGUGGUUGCGCCUCCACAUCCCAACUUCGUGGCUGGAAUGGCAGCUUUGUUUUCUAGCUACUACAACUUCAAUCUUGUGAACCAGGAGCAAGUGCACACUAGAGUUCAUUCAAAGGUAACUAUGUGCUUGAAGUACAAUGCAGUUUAUCAUUAUUUUGUAAAGUGUGCUAUUAUGAGUAACAGAGAUUUUAUUUUGCUUUAAGUGUGCUUACAGGAAAUCCCUUUAACAUGAUUUUUUUAGUUGAUAAAUUGGGUUAAGUUUGCAGUUAUUUACCCAAAUGCUUUAUAUCAUUGCAGAACCAAUUCAUUGUAACAUUCAAACAUUGACAAUAAAGAUUUAUUUGAUUAUAUAUUUUGAAAAGUAGUUCUGCAUUGGGGUAACUGAGCAUUUAGGUAAAUAAACUGCAAACUUGCUUUUUAUGGCAUUCACAAGAAAUCCCAUAUGCCCAUUUCAUAUGCCCACCCAGGCCUCACCCUCCCCACUAUGGCAGUGAUGCUCAAGGCAAACACACAAAAAAAGAUACUUUAAUUGUAGAUCUUUGGAUGGACCAGCCCAACAGCAGCAAACUUAGACAACCAAAGAACAUUAACCAAGACAUGUCUUGUGUUCCUCAAAAGAAUACAUUUAUUUUCCUGCUUUAGGGUGCCCUCUGACCACUCCCUACAUUGGAACAAUUUUGUCCAUUACAGACUGACAGUAUAACUACGUAGUGGAGCCUCGUAUCUACGUAUCUAGAAUGUUUUUCAAGUCUGAAAGCACUAUAAAGUUGCUUAAUACACUUAAUAUGGUGUAUUAUGUUAUGAAUACUAAAAUGUUAUAUUGUUGUGGUUUGUUUUAUGUUUUGUUGUCCUUUGAAGCAGGGGAUAGUCGGGAAAUUUUCAACCAGAGGACCUGCUGCUUGAGGUUAUGUUAAUGCAACUAACCUAACCAUAACUCAUGCAAUUUUGUGACUAGAAAUCCAAAUCAUCCCUUCAACUGCUAUGACUCUAUAUUUCACUAUAGUCAUUGCAUUGCAGAGCCACUUCCUGGUUUAGCUUGCCUGGACAGCACAACUAAAAUUAAAUGAAUAAUAAUUACCCACUGAAUUUUUCUGUUGCAGUUUUUCUGCACUUAAGCUGAAAAGGGCAAAUCAGCUUGAUUUGCACAGCCUGAUGUAUUUUGCACUCUCAUGUAGAGCAGUUAAGGCACUUUUUCAUAAAGUUUAUUUUCAUGUGAUUUUGUGAUUUCAGAUGCUUCAUUGGACUGAACCCCUCCAGUGGGACCAAGACAGCAAAGGUGGUUAGCCAAAAAAGAGGGAAGGUACAGGAGAAAAAGAAGAACUGCAUUAACCAUCACGUCUCCUCUCUACUUAAGCGGCUGAUAGAUUUUGAAUGGCUUCAAUUGUAAGUCUCAAGCGACUUCCUCACAAUAUGAAUGGACAUUGUUCUAAAUGUUUUCUGAAUUUCACUGAAUGUUAAGAAAAUGACAUUCUGAAAAUGUACAGUAUUGUAACACUGUAUUUUGUUUUAAUAAUAAAAUUUCAUGAUUUUGCAUCUUGGAGUAUGGUUUUAUUUAACAGUUGAAGAGAAUCUUAUCCAAUGGUGUUUGGAUUUAAAGCAAGCCUGGUCUUAUUUAAAACACUUUACAAUAGGCAUCAGCAAAGAUUAACUAUUUAUUUUUUACAACAACACAAUGUAUUGUAAAAUAUUUACAGAUUUUUGCUGGCAGCUCGAGUUGGCAGCAAAAAGAUGUAAUUAUUUCAAAACACAUUAUGUUGUUGUAAAAAAGAUUCUACAAUAACAUAUUGUAUUGUGAGGAAUUUACAGAUAUUACCUGGCAACUCUAGUUGCCAGGUAAUAUCUGUAAUUUGAAAAGAAAACAAGAUAAUGUUGUAAACUAAAUUACAAUAAAGUAGUGUUUUAAUAUAAAAACCUAAUACUUUGCUGUAAUUUAUGUACAACAAUAACCUGUAAACGAAAUCCAGUAUUAUACUGUAAUUCAUUUUUACAGUUAUUAAAAGCAAAUUCACAAAACUUUACAAGAUAUUACUGGCAACUUUUUUGCCAGGUACUUACUGUAAAAUCUACAGGCAAAUUCGUUACAGUGUAAUGUUUAAUGUACUGCACAACUUUUUUAUAACACGAACCCACAGUGUUCUGCCGGGACUUUAAACUUUUAUAAAACUAAAGCGUCUGCUCUCCGCCUCUUUUAUUUAAGAAAGGGUGUAAAGUUGCGCGAGCUUAUUUAACCAAUUGCUUUGAAAUGAGCAUGUAACAGCACAAGCAGCUGUACUCCCACAGACUGCGCAUCAGUUUAAGCGCGUCCUUUCUCCGCCUCGCGUCAUUUCUUCCGCUUGCGUUUGAAACAACUCGCAAGUGGACAAAAAAGACUGAUUAAAACCACCAAAUGUAAACAGGAAUGUGUCUCUCUCUUCCACUUAUAAUCCAAUCGACCAAAGCGCGUCUAAUACCAGGUGUAAAAUGUAUUGAAGAAACCGCGUGACUGCCGGCAAAACGAUAAAUCGGUCGGGCUCUAGUUUUAAUCGCUUGUCAGUGACAACCAUGGGUAACGUGCAGUAUCGGAAUUGGAUCAGUCCUGUUAGUCCGAUCCAGCAAAAAAGGCCGGAUCGGCCCCGAUACCGAUCCAGAAUAUCGGAUCAGUGCAUCCCUAGUAAAAACGUCCGAGUGCUGCCCUCUUCAGGUUGAAUGGUGGCUACUGCAGUUGAAUUUUUCCUAUUGGAUGUUGGGUCCAAAAAAUAACUUGUGACGUAAGCAGGUUCAAGCUCACCACGCCCUUGUUAUGAUCUCACCACACACUUGGUACAAGCUUAGUUUGUCCCCUCUAUCUCUGUUGGGAUCUGCCCACUUUUUUUGCAUUUUUCAAAUAUUACCAGUGGGUGGAGUCAAGCUCUGACCAGGGGUUUAGUUACGCUUUAAUAUCUUUGUUGAUUACCCAAGGGAUAGCCGUUUUGUAUUAAAUGCUUCUAACCACAUUUGAUAUCAAAAUGUAUUUCCCUUGUAUUACAUUAUUUGCUUUUUAUACUGUCUAUUCCAUUUCUUUUUAUACUCAGUUAAUUUAUACACAUAAUAAUUAGUGCUGGGUAGGGGUGUCACGAUUCUCCAAAUCCUCAUUUUCGAUUCUAAUGGCACGGUUCGAUUCUUGAUUUUACUUUUUUUUAAAGCAAAAAAAAAGGAUAU
Molecule: long non-coding RNA, 5634 nt
Organism: Misgurnus anguillicaudatus (oriental weatherfish)
Lineage: Eukaryota; Metazoa; Chordata; Actinopteri; Cypriniformes; Cobitidae
Source: RefSeq, a predicted model, not a curated record